AACUGUUCUCAGGGCGGGGCGAAAUUCCCCACCGGCGGUAUAUGGAAACAUGAGCCCGCGAGCGCCUCAAUCGAGGGUCAGCAGAUCGGGUGAGAUGCCCGAGCCGACAGUAUAGUCUGGAUGAAAGAGAACGAUC
This 136-nucleotide non-coding RNA is filed under the name Thalassobium sp. R2A62. Its description in RNAcentral is "Thalassiobium sp. R2A62 FMN riboswitch aptamer (RFN element)". It matches the Rfam family "FMN riboswitch aptamer (RFN element)". From Rfam's summary of the family: The RFN element is a highly conserved domain that is found frequently in the 5'-untranslated regions of prokaryotic mRNAs that encode for flavin mononucleotide (FMN) biosynthesis and transport proteins. Lineage: Bacteria; Pseudomonadati; Pseudomonadota; Alphaproteobacteria; Rhodobacterales; Paracoccaceae. The record is from Rfam by way of RNAcentral. RNAcentral also lists the same sequence under 1 other name.